CCUACGGGGGGCAGCAGUAGGGAAUAUUGCGCAAUGGGGGAAACCCUGAAGCAGCAACGCCGCGUGGAGGAGGAAGGUUUUGGGAUGGUAAACUCCGUUUGUUAGAGAAGAGAAUGACGGUAUCUAACGAAUAAGCACCGGCUAACUCCGUGCCAGCAGCCGCGGUAAUACGGAGGGUGCAAGCGUUACUCGGAAUCACUGGGCGUAAAGAGCGCGUAGGCGGGAUAGCAAGUCAGAUGUGAAAUCCUAUGGCUUAACCCUAGAACUGCAUUUGAAACUUUUAUUCUAGAGUAUGGGAGAGGUAGGUGGAAUUCUUGGUGUAGCGGUGAAAUCCUUAGAGAUCAAGAGGAAUACUCAUUGCGUAGGC
This 367-nucleotide ribosomal RNA is filed under the name uncultured bacterium. RNAcentral describes it as "partial 16S ribosomal RNA". It matches the Rfam family "Bacterial small subunit ribosomal RNA", at positions 338 to 722 of the family's 1533-position model. The record is from RNAcentral.